GGCGGCGGCCUAACACAUGCAAGUCGAGCGUGAAGUUGCACUUCGGUGCAAUGGAGAGCGGCGGACGGGUGAGUAACGCGUGGGAACGUACCUUUUGGUGGGGGAUAACUCCGGGAAACUGGAGCUAAUACCGCAUACUCCCUUCGGGGGAAAGAUUUAUCGCCAAAAGAUCGGCCCGCGUUGGAUUAGCUAGUUGGUGUGGUAACGGCGCACCAAGGCUUCGAUCCAUAGCUGGUCUGAGAGGAUGAUCAGCCACACUGGGACUGAGACACGGCCCAGACUCCUACGGGAGGCAGCAGUGGGGAAUAUUGGACAAUGGGCGCAAGCCUGAUCCAGCCAUGCCGCGUGAGUGAAGAAGGCCUUAGGGUUGUAAAGCUCUUUCAUCGGUGAAGAUAAUGACGGUAGCCGAAGAAGAAGCCCCGGCUAACUCCGUGCCAGCAGCCGCGGUAAUACGGAGGGGGCUAGCGUUGUUCGGAAUCACUGGGCGUAAAGCGCGCGUAGGCGGCUUGGUAAGUUGGGCGUGAAAGCCCGGGGCUCAACCCCGGAACUGCGUCCAAAACUACCAGACUAGAGUCCGGGAGAGGGUGGUGGAAUUUCCAGUGUAGAGGUGAAAUUCGUAGAUAUUGGAA
This 629-nucleotide ribosomal RNA is filed under the name uncultured Alphaproteobacteria bacterium. RNAcentral describes it as "bacterial SSU rRNA". It matches the Rfam family "Bacterial small subunit ribosomal RNA", at positions 38 to 702 of the family's 1533-position model. The record is from RNAcentral. Lineage: Bacteria; Pseudomonadati; Pseudomonadota; Alphaproteobacteria.